This 786-nucleotide ribosomal RNA is filed under the name uncultured bacterium. RNAcentral's name for it is "bacterial SSU rRNA". It matches the Rfam family "Bacterial small subunit ribosomal RNA", at positions 613 to 1397 of the family's 1533-position model. The record is from RNAcentral.
CCAUAAAAUUGCCAUUGAUACUGUUGUUCUUGAGUUAUUGUGAAGUGGUUAGAAUGUGUAGUGUAGCGGUGAAAUGCAUAGAUAUUACACAGAACACCAAUUGCGAAGGCAUAUCACUAACAAUAUACUGACGCUGAUGAACGAAAGCGUAGGUAGCCAACAGGAUUAGAUACCCUGGUAGUCUACGCUGUAAACGAUGGUUACUAGCUGUUCGUCACGCCUUAGGCGAGAUGAGUGGUUAAGCGAAAGUGAUAAGUAACCCACCUGGGGAGUACGUUUGCAAGAAUGAAACUCAAAGGAAUUGACGGGGGCCCGCACAAGCGGUGGAGCAUGUGGUUUAAUUCGAUGAUACGCGAGGAACCUUACCAAGGCUUAAAUGCAUAUUGACGAUUCACGAAAGUGGAUUUUCUUCGGACAAUUUGCAAGGUGCUGCAUGGUUGUCGUCAGCUCGUGCCGUGAGGUGUCAGGUUAAGUCCUAUAACGAGCGCAACCCCUGUGGUUAGUUACCAGCAUGUAAUGAUGGGGACUCUAGCCAGACUGCCGGUGCAAACCGUGAGGAAGGUGGGGAUGACGUCAAAUCAUCACGGCCCUUACGCCUUGGGCUACACACGUGCUACAAUGGUAUAUACAAUGAGCAGCCAUCUGGCGACAGAGCGCUAAUCUAUAAAGUAUAUCACAGUUCGAAUCGGAGUCUGCAACUCGACUCUGUGAAGCUGGAAUCGCUAGUAAUCGCACAUCAGCCAUGGUGCGGUGAAUACGUUCCCGGGCCUUGUACACACCGCCCGU